ACUCAAAGGAAUUGACGGGGACCCGCACAAGCGGUGGAGCAUGUGGUUUAAUUCGAAGCAACGCGAAGAACCUUACCUAAACUUGACAUCCUCUUGACCGGACCUUAAUCGGUCCUUCUAAGGCUUGCCUUAGCAAGAGAGACAGGUGGUGCAUGGUUGUCGUCAGCUCGUGUCGUGAGAUGUUGGGUUAAGUCCCGCAACGAGCGCAACCCUUAUCUUUAGUAGCCAUCAUUCAGUUGGGCACUCUAGAGAGACUGCCAGGGAUAACCUGGAGGAAGGUGGGGAUGACGUCAAAUCAUCAUGCCCCUUAUGUUUAGGGCUACACACGUGCUACAAUGGCUGCUACAAAGGGAAGCGAUCUAGUGAUAGUCAGCAAACCUCAAAAAAGCAGUCCCAGUUCGGAUUGUAGUCUGCAACUCGACUACAUGAAGUUGGAAUCGCUAGUAAUCGCGAAUCAGAAUGUCGCGGUGAAUACGUUCCCGGGUCUUGUACACACCGCCCGU
RNAcentral lists this ribosomal RNA (503 nucleotides) under uncultured bacterium. RNAcentral describes it as "bacterial SSU rRNA". It matches the Rfam family "Bacterial small subunit ribosomal RNA", at positions 899 to 1397 of the family's 1533-position model. The record is from RNAcentral.